Molecule: long non-coding RNA, 413 nt
Filed under: Rattus norvegicus (Norway rat)
Lineage: Eukaryota; Metazoa; Chordata; Mammalia; Rodentia; Muridae
Description: long non-coding RNA NONRATT024370
Source: RNAcentral
UGCAAACAAUGAGUCUCUGACUCGGCGGAGAGCAUGGGUACGGGCGCUGGCUCCAUCCAAGAAGCUGGUGGGCCCUUCGGAAAAGGAGAGAAGGCUGAAGAGGAUCGGUACUUCCGAGAGAAGGCUAGAGAACAGCUAGCUGCCCUGAAGAAACACCGUGAAGAGGAGAUUGACCACCAUUCGAAGGAGAUAGAACGUCUGCAGAAACAAACUGAAUGGCAAAUUGAAGAAGAUUAAGAACCUAAAGAGCAGUGAUCACUAAACGCACACAGUCCCUCACCGAAGGCCCGUAUCAUUCCCCACUUCUGUAGAAACAUUGUUUUGAAUGAUUAAUAUUUGGCCUGUGAUACUAACAGAUAAUAAAUUAUCCCCAGGAAAAAAAAUUCAUGGGAAUAAAGAAAAACAGGAAGCGA